UGUCGGUAGUCCAAUCCAAGGCUCAGCACUCAGGAAAAUAAAUCUAAAAGAUGAAGAAAGCAUUCCCAGUUUCACACUCGCACAACCUCCAGACCAGAGCCGCCUACACGGCCACACCACACCACACCACAGAGACCCACACUGCCAGAUGUCGUAACGGAGAUGGAGUGAUCUUGAGCACUCUCUAUCUCUCUUCUCCAAGUCUUGCCUUCCUCAUCUCUCUCUCUCUCUUCCGAGUUCAUUGUAGUAGAUAGAGUUACAAACGACCUGAGCUGAGAUUGAGACCUCACUCUCGCUGUCUCACGAUUGUUGCUCGCCUGAGUCCUAACCUCUCACAAUCACAGUCACAAUCUCACUCUCACACCCUUAUAUUAGAGCUCAGAGCCUCAAACUCGUCUCUCUAGCCUCUGGUCUCAGCGUCUUGCUCUCGCCUGAUCUGUCUCACACUCACAGUCUCAAUCUUAUACGGUCACACCCUUAGAGCUUAGACUCGUCUCUCGAGUCUUGCUGUCUCGCACAGUCACACCUUUGGUCUCACUCUCGCCUUUCUCUGUUUCUCAUCUCCAUUCUCUAGUUAACUAAUCAAGGCAUCAAGCCUUCAAAUUUGAAAUCUCACUCAAAUCUUAUAUUGUACUCUGUUUUUGAUUCGUCCUCCUCUCACAUCUCGCUCGCCAUUCUCAGCCUAGACCUAAAUUGCCUCCAGCUCCUCUUAGGUCCCAGCUCCAGCUCGUGCCUUUGCCUUUGCGUGAUUCUCAUUUUGCUCCAGCUUGUUUGAUUCUUAAUGUGCUCUGCUCUAUUUCCAAGUUCGAUUUCUAGCUUCUAUGUUCUAUCUAUGUAUUUAAGUUUGUAUAAUGAGUAAUAUGUAUAUUGUUUACACGAUUCGUCCAGCCAUUUAUCUGUGUAUGCUUGUUUGCUUUAUUUUUUAUUGCUCUGUUAUUUAUUGAUCUGGAAUUCUGGAUGUGAUCUAAUUAUUUUGAGUAUGAUCUAAUUCUUAGCUCUGCUCUCCUUUUCACAUUUUAUCUGUGCUUUCAAUUUAAAUUUAGAAAAUGUCAUCUGAACAAAUAUCUAGUACUGCAUCCACACAAUCUGUUAGAGCUAAGUCAGAUCCUAUAUAGGAGCAUUGUACUGAAAUACCAAAUGAAAAAAGUGGCAAACCUCGCUUAAGAUGCCUAUAUUGUGGAAAGGAAUUUGGUGGUGGUGGAAUACACAGAAUGAAACAACACCUUGCUGUGAAAAAAGGAGAUGCAAUUAAUUGUAAAAGUGUGCCACAUGAUGUUCGCUAUUGAUUGGAGGAAAACUUGAAAGAAAUUGAUCAAAAGAGACCAACUAAGAAAUUGAGAAAACAAUAAGAGGAUAAUCCAUUGGAAGUAGAUGAUGGAAUUGUGCAAGAAAUAAUUCCUCCAAGUUCUUCUCAAUCAGUCAAAAAAAAGGCAUCUACAGCUAGAGAUAAAUUCUUUGCCCCAAGGGCAACCUCUGGAGCACAACCAAGAAUUUGAAGUGCAUUUGCAGGUAAAGAAAUUCGGCAUAGAGUGGAUUUAGCUAUGGUUAGGUGGUUGUAUGAUUGUUGCAUUCCUAUGAAUGCUGUAAAUUCUGUUUACUAUCAGCUUGUGAUAGAUGCUAUUUCAACUAUUGGCCCUGGUUAUAAAGGACCAACUUACCAUGCCGUGAGAACUAAAUUACUGCAAGGCAUGAAAAAGGAGGUGCAAUUAUUGGUUGAUGAAUGUAGAAACUUUUGGACUGAGACUGGAUGUAUAAUAAUGGCUGAUAGUUGGCAAGAUCAAAGAAAUAGACAAUUGAUUAAUUUUCUUAUUUACUGCCCUAGAGGAAUGGUUUUUAUUAGAUCUGUUGAUGCAUCGGAUAUUGUUAAGCAUGCUCAAAAUCUUUGCAACUUAUUCAUGGAUAUGGUUGCUUUUGCUGGUGCAGAUAAUGUUAUCUACUUGGUAACUGAUAAUGCAGCUAAUUAUAAAGCUGCUGGAAGGUUGUUAUAUGAUAAGUUUCCUUCUAUUUUCUAGUCUCCUUGUGCUGCCCAUUGCUUAAAUUUGAUUUUAUCAGAUAUUGGCAAAAUGGAGAUUGUUAAUAGCUUAGCAACACGUGCAUCCAUGAUUUUGAAAUUCAUUUACAACCAUGUCUUUUUGCUAGCUUGGUUAAGGAAAAGAGAAGGCUGGACAGAAAUCAUUCACCCCGGAGCAACACGAUUUACCAUUACUUUUAUUGCCUUAAAAAGUAUCUAUGAGCACAAGCAUGAUAUUCAAGCUUUAAUAACAAGCAAGACAUUUGUAGAAUCUAGAUACUAUAAGGAUUCAAAGGUAAAGGAUGUGACAAUGAUUGUAUUGGACAAUCAAUUCUGAAAUAAUUGUAAAAUUAUUGUUGAAAUUGUAAAACCACUUGUAAAAUUGUUAAGAAUUGUUGAUUCUGAUGACCGGCCUUCACUUGGCUAUGUGUAUGAUGGCAUGUACCGAGCAAAAAGAGCUAUAAAGAAUACUUUCAGGCAUAAAAAAUCUUUGUAGAAGCCUUACACAAGUAUUAUUAAGAGAAGGUGGGAUUCUCAACUUCGACAAAAUCUUCAUGCAGCAGCAUAUCUCUUCAAUCCUGCUUUCCUUUAUGAUAAGAAAAAUUUUUCUAGAAAGCCAGAGGUUAUGCAAGGAUAUCUUAAUGUGAUAGAUAGAAAAAUUUCUUCUAAUAAAACCAAGUUUUUAUUAGAGGGCACACAAUACCAAGAAAGGUGUGGGAGCUUUAGUCAUCCAUUGGCUUUAGAAUCUGCAAAAACCAUGCGACCUGAUGAAUGGUGGAAACAUUUUAGGAGUAGCUAUCCAAAUGUUAAAGACUUGGCUGUUAAGAUAUUAGGCCAAACUGUAUCUUCCUCGAGCUGUGAAAGGAAUUGAAGUGUCUUUGAAAGAAUACACUCCAAGAAAAGGAAUAAGUUGGAUCAUGAAAGAUUGAAUGAUCUUGUUUAUAUUCAUUACAAUUUUCGAUUAAGGAAUAGGUAAAUUAGUCAAAAUUUUGAUUUCAUUUCUAGCUAUAAAAAAUAAGUUACAUGAAUCCUUAUACUUUGUUACUAUCAUGUGUUUUUAUUAGAGUUGCUAACAAGAAGAAAACUUUGGACCCUGUUGAUUAUGAAAGUAUUGAUAAGAUUGAGUAUUGGUUAAUGGAAGAAGAUGAUUAUUCUUUACUCAAUAUUGAUGAGAUAGAACGAGAUCUCAUUUAUGAUGACACAGUGCUACCAAAAGCUAUCAUUCAUCAAGAGGAUGAAGAAGAUAAUCAGCAAAGAGGCAACGUGACAGAUGGUGAAGUCAUUGGUGGACUUGAUUUACAAUUAUUUUUUCACAAGGAUGUUGAUAGCUUUAGUGAAGAUGUUGAUGCUUUUGAGCCUGCCUAUGCUUAGAUUAACCAAGAUCCCCUAAUAUUUGAUAAGCCAUGAAAAUUUAAACUUAUGAUGUUGUGAACUUUGCAAUGAUAUGUUUGAGAAAUAUUUUGAA
This is a long non-coding RNA of Prosopis cineraria, 3476 nucleotides long. RefSeq lists it as uncharacterized. The transcript has 3 exons. Lineage: Eukaryota; Viridiplantae; Streptophyta; Magnoliopsida; Fabales; Fabaceae. The record is from RefSeq and is a predicted model, not a curated record.